This 254-nucleotide ribosomal RNA is filed under the name uncultured bacterium. RNAcentral's name for it is "partial 16S ribosomal RNA". It matches the Rfam family "Bacterial small subunit ribosomal RNA", at positions 524 to 776 of the family's 1533-position model. The record is from RNAcentral.
UACGUAGGGUGCGAGCGUUAUCCGGAAUUAUUGGGCGUAAAGAGCUCGUAGGCGGUUUGUCGCGUCUGCCGUGAAAGUCCGGGGCUCAACCCCGGACUUGCAGCGGGUACGGGCAGACUAGAGUGUGGUAGGGGAGACUGGAAUUCCUGGUGUAGCGGUGAAAUGCGCAGAUAUCAGGAGGAACACCGAUGGCGAAGGCAGGUCUCUGGGCCACUACUGACGCUGAGAAGCGAAAGCAUGGGGGAGCGAACAGG